This 322-nucleotide ribosomal RNA is filed under the name uncultured Actinomycetes bacterium. Its description in RNAcentral is "bacterial SSU rRNA". It matches the Rfam family "Bacterial small subunit ribosomal RNA", at positions 28 to 350 of the family's 1533-position model. The record is from RNAcentral. Lineage: Bacteria; Bacillati; Actinomycetota; Actinomycetes.
GAUGAACGCUGGCGGCGUGCUUAACACAUGCAAGUCGAACGGUGAAAGAGAGCUUGCUCUCUGGAUCAGUGGCGAACGGGUGAGUAACACGUGAGCAAUCUGCCCCUGACUCUGGGAUAAGCGUUGGAAACGACGUCUAAUACCGGAUACGAGCUGCGAAGGCAUCUUCAGCAGCUGGAAAGAACUUCGGUCAGGGAUGAGCUCGCGGCCUAUCAGCUAGUUGGUGAGGUAAAGGCUCACCAAGGCGUCGACGGGUAGCCGGCCUGAGAGGGUGACCGGCCACACUGGGACUGAGACACGGCCCAGACUCCUACGGGUGGCU